RNAcentral lists this long non-coding RNA (261 nucleotides) under Medicago truncatula (barrel medic). Its description in RNAcentral is "long non-coding RNA (MTRU_LNC004561)". The record is from RNAcentral. Lineage: Eukaryota; Viridiplantae; Streptophyta; Magnoliopsida; Fabales; Fabaceae.
UCCAACUCAUCAAUUCCUUUUUUAAGUAAAUCCAUUUCCCAUAUUUUAGACUGUGAUGAACUAUACCAUAUCUUUCUCUGUCUUUCUAACAUGUCCGAGCUUCUGGAGUUCUCCAAGACUUCAUAGAAAACCUGUCUUGAGACAGGAGGUUUUAAACAUGACAAAAGAGCUUUCUCUGAAGCAAGAGAUACAGGUUGUCUACGAAGGAAAGGGCGUAUAACAGGAGCAAGGAAAACAUAUGAAUCCACUGCACCCAGGCUC